UACGGGGGGAGCAAGCGUUGUUCGGAUUUACUGGGCGUAAAGGGCGCGUAGGCGGCCACCGCAAGUCAAUUGUGAAAUCUCCGGGCUUAACUCGGAAAGGUCAACUGAUACUGCGGGGCUAGAGUGCGGAAGGGGCAACUGGAAUUCUCGGUGUAGCGGUGAAAUGCGUAGAUAUCGAGAGGAACACCUGCGGCGAAGGCGGGUUGCUGAGCCGACACUGACGCUGAUGCGCGAAAGCCAGGGGAGCGAACGGG
Molecule: ribosomal RNA, 254 nt
Filed under: uncultured bacterium
Lineage: Bacteria
Description: partial 16S ribosomal RNA
Rfam family: Bacterial small subunit ribosomal RNA
Source: RNAcentral